Molecule: non-coding RNA, 28 nt
Filed under: Homo sapiens (human)
Lineage: Eukaryota; Metazoa; Chordata; Mammalia; Primates; Hominidae
Source: RNAcentral
UAGGACCAUGAACUGGUAAACUCUCCUC